Capra hircus (goat) is the source of this 363-nucleotide long non-coding RNA. RefSeq lists it as uncharacterized. The record is from RefSeq and is a predicted model, not a curated record. Lineage: Eukaryota; Metazoa; Chordata; Mammalia; Artiodactyla; Bovidae. The transcript is spliced from 3 exons.
UGAAGAAAUGAAAGAAAAAAAUACAGGGUGGAAAAUAUCCCCAGGAGGAUUGAAAACUCUUCUGACUUAGUAAGAUCCUAACAACAAGCUCUUCAAAGGCUCCUUGUAGAGAGGAAAAUAUAAAGCAACUUGUGAAGAUGGAACGCUCCGGUGCUUUCAGAUGAGCCUUCCACUGUCACAGUCAAUGGCCAGGAACAGAAUAAGCUCUGGAGCUUAACAUGGAAAGGUCUGCCUACACAAGGAAAUUAUAAGUUCGAUGAAGGACACAGAUAUCUAAUCACCUUGAAUUUCUUCUACCACCAAUUUAUGAGCACCUACAAUAGAGAAAGUGUUACCACAAGAAUCUAAGAAGGCUCAUUAAAU